GAUGAACGCUGGCGGCGUGCCUAAUACAUGCAAGUCGAGCGAACGGACCAGGAGCUUGGUUCUCUGUAGUUAGGGGCGGACGGGUGAGGAACACGUGGACAACCCUUCUAUAAGACUGGGAUAACUUCGGGAAAACGGAGCUAAUAACGGAAAAUCUUUUGAACCGGAUGGGUGAAAAAUGAAAGACGGUCCUUGUGUCAAUUAUAGAUGGAUCCGCGCUGCAUUAGCUAGUUGGUAAGGUAACGGCUUACCAAGGCAACGAUGCAUAGCCGACCUGAGAGGGUGAUCGGCCACACUGGAACUGAGACACGGUCCAGACUCCUACGGGAGGCAGCAGUAGGGAAUCUUCCGCAAUGGGCGAAAGCCUGACGGAGCAACGCCGCGUGAGUGAUGAAGGUCUUCGGAUCGUAAAACUCUGUUAUUAGGGAAGAACAUAUGUGUAAGUAACUGUGCACAUCUUGACGGUACCUAAUCAGAAAGCCACGGCUAACUACGUG
This 497-nucleotide ribosomal RNA is filed under the name uncultured bacterium. RNAcentral describes it as "partial 16S ribosomal RNA". It matches the Rfam family "Bacterial small subunit ribosomal RNA", at positions 28 to 507 of the family's 1533-position model. The record is from RNAcentral.